AGUGAACGCUGGCGGUAGGCCUAACACAUGCAAGUCGAACGGCAGCACAGUAAGAGCUUGCUCUUACGGGUGGCGAGUGGCGGACGGGUGAGGAAUACAUCGGAAUCUACUUUUUCGUGGGGGAUAACGUAGGGAAACUUACGCUAAUACCGCAUACGACCUACGGGUGAAAGCAGGGGAUCUUCGGACCUUGCGCGAUUGAAUGAGCCGAUGUCGGAUUAGCUAGUUGGCGGGGUAAAGGCCCACCAAGGCGACGAUCCGUAGCUGGCCUGAGAGGAUGAUCAGCCACACUGGAACUGAGACACGGUCCAGACUCCUACGGGAGGCAGCAGUGGGGAAUAUUGGACAAUGGGCGCAAGCCUGAUCCGGCCAUACCGCGUGGGUGAAGAAGGCCUUCGGGUUGUAAAGCCCUUUUGUUGGGAAAGAAAAGCAGCAGGUUAAUACCCCGCUGUUCUGACGGUACCCAAAGAAUAAGCACCGGCUAACUUCGUG
This 492-nucleotide ribosomal RNA is filed under the name uncultured bacterium. RNAcentral's name for it is "partial 16S ribosomal RNA". It matches the Rfam family "Bacterial small subunit ribosomal RNA", at positions 29 to 507 of the family's 1533-position model. The record is from RNAcentral.